CCGCGGUAACACCGGCAGCUCAAGUGGUAGCCGCUUUUAUUGGGCCUAAAGCGUCCGUAGCCGGUCUGAUAAGUCUCUGGUGAAAUCCCACAGCUUAACUGUGGGAAUUGCUGGAGAUACUAUCAUGACUCGAGGUCGGGAGAGGCUGGAGGUACUCCCAGGGUAGGGGUGAAAUCCUGUAAUCCUGGGAGGACCACCUGUGGCGAAGGCGUCCAGCUGGAACGAACCUGACGGUGAGGGACGAAAGCCAGGGGCGCGAACCGGAUUAGAUACCCGGGUAGUCCUGGCCGUAAACGAUGUGGACUUGGUGUUGGGAUGGCUUCGAGCUGCCCCAGUGCCGAAGGGAAGCUGUUAAGUCCACCGCCUGGGAAGUACGGCCGCA
This 382-nucleotide ribosomal RNA is filed under the name uncultured Methanothermobacter sp. RNAcentral's name for it is "bacterial SSU rRNA". It matches the Rfam family "Archaeal small subunit ribosomal RNA", at positions 465 to 845 of the family's 1478-position model. The record is from RNAcentral. Lineage: Archaea; Methanobacteriati; Methanobacteriota; Methanobacteria; Methanobacteriales; Methanobacteriaceae.